UGCCGAGAAAAGCCUCUAGAUAGAUAACAGGUGCCCGUACCGCAAACCGACACAGGUAGUCAAGAUGAGAAUUCUAAGGUGAGCGAGCGAACUCUCGUUAAGGAACUCGGCAAAAUGACCCCGUAACUUCGGGAGAAGGGGUGCUCUUUAGGGUUCACGCCCAGAAGAGCCGCAGUGAAUAGGCCCAAGCGACUGUUUAUCAAAAACACAGGUCUCUGCUAAACCGUAAGGUGAUGUAU
This 239-nucleotide ribosomal RNA is filed under the name Nostoc sp. 2RC. RNAcentral describes it as "partial 23S ribosomal RNA". It matches the Rfam family "Bacterial large subunit ribosomal RNA", at positions 1606 to 1846 of the family's 2925-position model. The record is from RNAcentral. Lineage: Bacteria; Bacillati; Cyanobacteriota; Cyanophyceae; Nostocales; Nostocaceae.